AGAAGAGUUAGCCCAGCCUUCGAGGCGUGAUCCCAGUCUCUUCCUCCUCCUCCUUCCUCUUCCUGACUGCUCUGUCUUCAUCCCCGACUCCUUCUCUCUGCAGAUCCAACGUUGUUUACUGUUGCUUCCGGUCAACCACUUCUGUGCAGGUCCUGAGCUUCCCCCCAGAGACCAAAGCCAGGUCAGUGUUGAGGCUCUGAUGUCUACAUUUCCCAACUUCACACUGACAUUUUACUCACGUGCCUGGCCUAGAAUGUUUGCCACAGAUGUAGUCUUCUCUGAUCACAAAAGAAUGCUUUUUUGAGUCAGAAGGAUUUCAUAUGCUCCAAAUAGAAAAAAAUACCCAUUACCCAGAAAAACUUGAGAUCCUAAGCUCUUUAAGGCUUUUCUCUUUGCACGGAUGUUGUUCCUG
This 412-nucleotide long non-coding RNA is filed under the name Rattus norvegicus (Norway rat). RNAcentral describes it as "long non-coding RNA NONRATT004432". The record is from RNAcentral. Lineage: Eukaryota; Metazoa; Chordata; Mammalia; Rodentia; Muridae.